RNAcentral lists this ribosomal RNA (455 nucleotides) under uncultured organism. RNAcentral's name for it is "bacterial SSU rRNA". It matches the Rfam family "Bacterial small subunit ribosomal RNA", at positions 346 to 794 of the family's 1533-position model. The record is from RNAcentral.
GCGCACCAGUCGCGAAUUUUUCUCAAUGGGCGAAAGCCUGAAGGAGCGACGCCGCGUGGGGGAUGAAUGGCUUCGGCCCGUAAACCCCUGUCAUUUGUGAACAAAUUGUUUCACCUAACACAUGAAGCAUUGAUAGUAACGGAAGAGGAAGGGACGGCUAACUCUGUGCCAGCAGCCGCGGUAAUACAGAGGUCCCAAGCGUUGUUCGGAUUCACUGGGCGUAAAGGGUGCGUAGGCGGUUGGGUAAGUCUGACGUGAAAUCUCCGGGCCUAACCCGGAAACUGCGUUGGAUACUAUCCGGCUAGAGGAAUGGAGGGGAGACUGGAAUACUUGGUGUAGCAGUGAAAUGCGUAGAUAUCAAGUGGAACACCAGUGGCGAAGGCGAGUCUCUGGACAUUUCCUGACGCUGAGGCACGAAAGCCAGGGGAGCAAACGGGAUUAGAUACCCGCGUAGU